AAAAGUUUGGUCCUAGCUUCACUAUCAAAUAUUUCCAAAAUUACACAUGCAAGUCUCAGCACCCCAGUGAGAACGCCCUUAAACCUCUAUCAGGCCAAGGAGCUGGUAUCAGGCACAAUUAUUGCCCAUAACACCUAGUCUCACCACACCUCCAAAGGCUAUCAGCAGUGAUAAACAUUAUAUAUAAGCGCCAGCUUGAAUUAGUUAAAGAAAAGAGAGCCGGCCAACUUGGUGCCAGCUGCCGCGGCUACACCAUAGGCUCAAAUUGAUAGUAAACGGCGUUAAGUGUGGCAGACAUAUUAAAUUAGCAUAAAACUUAAGCUCAGCUGUAAAAUGCUUGCCUACAGAAACCCAUAAUCGAAAGUUAUACUAAUCAACUCUCACCACGACAGCUUGGAACCAAACUGGGAUUAGAUACCCCACUAUGCCAAGCCACAAACAUUACUCACAAUAAUAAACGCCAGGGUAUUACGAGCCUAGCUUAAAACCCAAAGGACUUGACGGUGUCCCACCCCACUAGAGGAGCCUGUUCUAUAAUCGAUAAUCCACGUUAUACCUAACCAUUUUUUGCUUUUCAGCCUGUAUACCUCCGUCGCAAGCCUACCAUAUGAAUGAACAACAGCAGGCCAAAUAGCUUUAACCCUACAACGUCAGGUCAAGGUGCAGCUUAUAUAAUGGAAAGCAAUGGGCUACAAUUUCUAACUUAGAACAAACGAAUUACUAUAUGAAAUAUAGUUAUGAAGGCGGAUUUAGCAGUAAAUAGGGAAUAGAGAGCCCAAUUAAAUCUGGCCCUGGGACGUGUACAAACCGCCCGUCACCCUCUUUAAUAGCCUUAUUUAGAUUUAUAACCUUAUAUAGCAUUUUAAAAGAGGCAAGUCGUAACAUGGUAAGUGUACUGGAAAGUGCACUUGGUCUAA
Molecule: non-coding RNA, 917 nt
Filed under: Philautus acutirostris (Philippine bubble-nest frog)
Lineage: Eukaryota; Metazoa; Chordata; Amphibia; Anura; Rhacophoridae
Description: 12S ribosomal RNA
Rfam family: Bacterial small subunit ribosomal RNA
Source: RNAcentral